Long non-coding RNA from Nicotiana tabacum (common tobacco), 495 nucleotides. RefSeq lists it as uncharacterized. The record is from RefSeq and is a predicted model, not a curated record. NCBI's taxonomy places the organism in Eukaryota, Viridiplantae, Streptophyta, Magnoliopsida, Solanales, Solanaceae.
CUUUCCUCUGUCGCAAUUCUUAAAGUUGUGUUAACAUGGCCGGAAAUAAGAUUUACUUUUCUCAUUGCUGCUCUCCUUUUGGCGAUUACUAUUAAUGUCUUGAGCGUUCCGAGGAUGCAAGUGAUGGCAUCGCGAAACAUACCAUUAAAUAUGUACUCCUACAAUAUUAUGGAAGGAAGCCUACUGAUUCCUGCACUUAAUGACAGAGCUUGUCUUUUACCCUGCAGGGUAAAUACAGACUGCUCUAGUGGCACCGUUUGCAGAACUUGUGGGCCGAGUUAUACAUGUUCUCCUUAGGAAUUUUAAACAAAUUCCCAUGCUUAUGUUGUUUUCCUUUUUCAUGUUCCGCUUUCCAUCUUUAUGUGCCACCUGUGUGCUGUGAGAUAUUACAUAAGUGACUGAAUUGUGUUAUAAUAAGGUAAGUAAAAUUGUUGUUUUAUGAUAUAUCAUGUGUAUUCAGUUGCAAUAUUAAUAAUGAUGAGUGUAUUGAGUAUA